UGGGGAAUAUUGCGCAAUGGGGGAAACCCUGACGCAGCAACGCCGCGUGCGGGAUGAAGGCCUUCGGGUUGUAAACCGCUUUCAGCAGGGAAGACAUCGACGGUACCUGCAGAAGAAGCCCCGGCUAACUACGUGCCAGCAGCCGCGGUAAUACGUAGGGGGCGAGCGUUAUCCGGAUUCAUUGGGCGUAAAGCGCGCGCAGGCGGUUGCUCAAGCGGAACCUCUAAUCUCGGGGCUUAACCUCGAGCCGGGUUCCGAACUGGACGACUCGAGUGCGGUAGAGGCAGAUGGAAUUCCCGGUGUAGCGGUGGAAUGCGCAGAUAUCGGGAAGAACACCAACGGCGAAGGCAGUCUGCUGGGCCGUCACUGACGCUGAGGCGCGAAAGCUGGGGGAGCGAACAGG
This 403-nucleotide ribosomal RNA is filed under the name Verrucomicrobiota bacterium. RNAcentral describes it as "Verrucomicrobia bacterium partial 16S ribosomal RNA". It matches the Rfam family "Bacterial small subunit ribosomal RNA", at positions 355 to 776 of the family's 1533-position model. Lineage: Bacteria; Pseudomonadati; Verrucomicrobiota. The record is from RNAcentral.